GUUGUCUUGGAUGACAAGCACGUGACGUUAAAGGAAACAGGAAGUGGAGUGGAAAGCGCAGCUUGCAGAGAUAUCCACUGCGUUAAAAAAUUGCUCAAGUGAAUGGCAAAAUAAAGAAUGAAAAGUACUAUAACUAUGUGCUCGAAACAGAACAGAGGACGAUUCCAACAUCGUAAAUGGUGUGGAUUGCGUGGUUGGUGAAAUGCUGGUGGUUGACAGGAUGUGAACGACAUCAAAGAAGCUUGCGUCAGAGAAAAACAUGGCACCUACGAUGAUCAGCCAAGAGGACUCUGAAGGCAGAGCAUCUAUCAACGCCUGAUAGCUGAUCUGCAGACUGGAGACCCAGCAGGCUUGCGAUUGUUGAAGGAAGACACGGCAAUUGAAAUGACUCCCUGAUUUCAAUGGAUAAGAAGUUAAGUGGAGAGUCAACUGGAAGAUUGGUGAGGAACACAGGCAGGGGAGGAUCUAAGAGGAAAGGACCAACUUCUGCAGUGGCCAGGAUGUCAAUGACAG
Long non-coding RNA from Lutra lutra (Eurasian river otter), 513 nucleotides. RefSeq lists it as uncharacterized. The record is from RefSeq and is a predicted model, not a curated record. Lineage: Eukaryota; Metazoa; Chordata; Mammalia; Carnivora; Mustelidae. The transcript is spliced from 4 exons.